RNAcentral lists this ribosomal RNA (439 nucleotides) under uncultured bacterium. RNAcentral's name for it is "partial 16S ribosomal RNA". It matches the Rfam family "Bacterial small subunit ribosomal RNA", at positions 339 to 795 of the family's 1533-position model. The record is from RNAcentral.
CUACGGGCUGCUGCAGUGGGGGAUAUUGCACAAUGGAGGAAACUCUGAUGCAGCGAUGCCGCGUGGAGGAAGAAGGUUUUCGGAUUGUAAACUCCUGUCUUGAGGGACGAUAAUGACGGUACCUCAAAAGAAAGCUCCGGCUAACUACGUGCCAGCAGCCGCGGUAAUACGUAGGGAGCGAGCGUUGUCCGGAAUUACUGGGUGUAAAGGGAGCGUAGGCGGGAUGGUAAGUCAGAUGUGAAAAUUAUGGGCUCAACCCAUAAACUGCAUUUGAAACUGCUGUUCUUGAGUGAAGUAGAGGUAAGCGGAAUUCCUAGUGUAGCGGUGAAAUGCGUAGAUAUUAGGAGGAACACCGGUGGCGAAGGCGGCUUACUGGGCUUUUACUGACGCUGAGGCUCGAAAGCGUGGGGAGCAAACAGGAUUAGAUACCCCAGUAGUC